AGAGCGCCAGGAAGACUCUGAGACCACAGAGCACGGCCUGCUUUCUCCCAGCCCCUGGUAAAGAUGUCCAGCCUGGGACCUCCCCCUGUAUAUAGUGCCUUAAGUGGGAGAGGACCACCACCCAGAUCAGGGGAGGACCUGUCCCCUGCAAUGCUGCUGCCUGCUUUCCAGAUUGACUUGGGAGUGCUUGUGCUGACGGAGCAUGUUCUGUGGUUUUUCUCUUUCUUCCCUCUGUUGUUGUGCCUUUUCCGUAGGUACCUGCACCAGUCAGGGGCCCUGACCAUGGAGGCCCUGGAGGACCCUUCCCCCGAGCUCAUGGAGGGCCCAGAGGAGGACAUUGCUGACAAGGUUGUCUUCCUGGAAAGGCGUGUGCUGGAGCUGGAAAAGGACACGGCAGCCACCGGUGAGCAACACAGCCGCCUGAGGCAGGAGAACCUGCAGCUGGUGCACAGAGCAAACGCCCUGGAGGAGCAGCUGAAGGAGCAGGAGCUGAGAGCCUGCGAGAUGGUCCUGGAAGAGACCCGGCGUCAGAAGGAGCUCCUGUGCAAGAUGGAGAGGGAGAAGAGCAUUGAGAUCGAGAACCUGCAGACCAGGCUACAGCAGCUGGACGAGGAGAACAGUGAACUCCGGUCCUGCACGCCCUGUCUGAAGGCUAACAUUGAGCGUCUG
This 669-nucleotide small RNA is filed under the name Pan troglodytes (chimpanzee). RNAcentral describes it as "retained intron". The record is from RNAcentral. Lineage: Eukaryota; Metazoa; Chordata; Mammalia; Primates; Hominidae.